GGAGGAUUAGCCUAACUGGUAAGGUAGCGGUCUUCUAACCAGUAGGUUUCGGCCAUGCGGGUUCGAGUCCCGCAUCCUCUU
RNAcentral lists this transfer RNA (81 nucleotides) under Candidatus Cloacimonetes bacterium HGW-Cloacimonetes-3. RNAcentral's name for it is "tRNA-Arg". It matches the Rfam family "tRNA". From Rfam's summary of the family: Transfer RNA (tRNA) molecules are approximately 80 nucleotides in length. Their secondary structure includes four short double-helical elements and three loops (D, anti-codon, and T loops). Lineage: Bacteria; Pseudomonadati; Candidatus Cloacimonadota. The record is from RNAcentral.